GAUAAUUUCAUCUGUAUAAUAUUCUGGCUGUGAUUCUUGCAAAGAAAGCAGAUGGCUGAUCAUUGUAUUACCAGCCUUAUCAUUUCUUUGCCCAUCAAUAAGACCUUGCAACAACACAUCAGUUCUUUUACUAAGUACCUUCAAUUUCUUCAAAGAACCUUGAUAAUCAAUCCACUGUAAAAAAGGCAAGAAAUCUCCAGGAUAUGAAGUCUCUGCAAAUUUGAAAACCUCUCUUAUAAUCUCCCUGAAAUGCCUCGCCUCGUUAGUUUCACAAUACGGCUUCCCUGUAAUCAUGUGCAUGAUUGUGUUAAAAGUUAGCUCUGAAAACAUUGGCCUUAACUCUACCUUACCAAAAUCUUUGCUAGAAACUUGAUAGAGUUUGUUCAGAAGAUUCUUGAUUUCAUCCCUUCGAAUGCCUAAAAAUUUGUUGACGCGAUUGGAUGAUAAGAUUUCGACAGUGCUUAACCGGCGAAGGUUGCGCCAGUGGUCACCAUAUGGGGCCGAUGCAAGGGUAGUAUGGUUGUAGUCUACAUACUUUGCAACGGUUAAAAAAGGGCGAUUGGCGAAAACAAUAUCAUUUUUGGUGAAGCAUUCU
RNAcentral lists this unclassified non-coding RNA (595 nucleotides) under Hevea brasiliensis (rubber tree). The record is from RNAcentral. Lineage: Eukaryota; Viridiplantae; Streptophyta; Magnoliopsida; Malpighiales; Euphorbiaceae.